RNAcentral lists this ribosomal RNA (389 nucleotides) under uncultured bacterium. Its description in RNAcentral is "bacterial SSU rRNA". It matches the Rfam family "Bacterial small subunit ribosomal RNA", at positions 28 to 417 of the family's 1533-position model. The record is from RNAcentral.
GACGAACGCUGGCGGCGUGCUUAACACAUGCAAGUCGAGCGGUAAGGCCCUUUCGGGGGUACACGAGCGGCGAACGGGUGAGUAACACGUGGGUGACCUGCCCUCAGCUCUGGGAUAAGCCUGGGAAACCGGGUCUAAUACCGGAUAUGACUCCAUGACGCAUGUUGUGGGGUGGAAAGCCUUGUGCGGCUGAGGAUGGGCCCGCGGCCUAUCAGCUCGUUGGUGGGGUGAUGGCCUACCAAGGCGACGACGGGUAGCCGGCCUGAGAGGGCGACCGGGCCACACUGGGACUGAGACACGGCCCAGACUCCUACGGGAGGCAGCAGUGGGGAAUCUUGCGCAAUGGGCGAAAGCCUGACGCAGCGACGCCGCGUGAGGGAUGACGGCCU